Daphnia pulicaria is the source of this 698-nucleotide long non-coding RNA. RefSeq lists it as uncharacterized. NCBI's taxonomy places the organism in Eukaryota, Metazoa, Arthropoda, Branchiopoda, Diplostraca, Daphniidae. The record is from RefSeq and is a predicted model, not a curated record. The transcript has 3 exons.
CAGAUACUUCUGUAUUUGUUUUGGUUUUCAAUCAAGCUUUGUUCUGGAUUUGUUGUCUUUUAUUAUUAUUGCCAACACAGCUUUAAACCUCGGCAGAAAUAGGAAUUUCUCAGUUCUUUCAGAAAUGUUACUUGUGAGCUUGUUGAAGAUCAAGCAAAAGCAAAUUUUCAAAUGGACACAACAUUCACUUAAGUUUUCUUUUAAAUUUUUAACAAAAACCUAUUCUUACUUGUCUAUAUUUUUACAGGAUUAAAUAUAACAUAAGUUAGUCUGAUACUUUGUCACCAAAACACUGUAUUUGAUACAUGAACAAAACAGCAAUCACAGUUUACGAUGACAAUGUUGGUUAGCUUUACAGCAACGGAAUCCUGUAGAUGCAUCCUCCAACAAAAAAUUGUUCUUCGAAUAACUUAUUCCAACAAUUGUUGAUUGACUGCCACAGCAUGUCUUUUGACCUAAUUUUAAUUUCUCUUUUGUUAAUCAUUUCCAGUAUUUCUUGCCAAACUUUCUCCAGUGGCAUUACAUCUCCGAAAUCACCAUGCCAGGGUAGUUUCUGAAUUUUCUCUUUGUUAUCCUUGAACCACUGCUGCACAUAUCUUGAUGUGUGUACUGGAUAUUUGUCGUGAACAAAUUUCAUUGGAAUGAGACUGCUGUUUUCUUCAACCAUUUGUUUAAGAAAAUAAACGUAUUGGCUAGUA